This 494-nucleotide ribosomal RNA is filed under the name uncultured bacterium. RNAcentral's name for it is "partial 16S ribosomal RNA". It matches the Rfam family "Bacterial small subunit ribosomal RNA", at positions 30 to 507 of the family's 1533-position model. The record is from RNAcentral.
AUUGAACGCUGGCGGCAUGCUUUACACAUGCAAGUCGAACGGCAGCGGGGAGGAGCUUGCUUCUCUGCCGGCGAGUGGCGAACGGGUGAGUAAUACAUCGGAACGUGUCGAGAAGAGGGGGAUAACCACCCGAAAGGGUGGCUAAUACCGCAUAAAUUCUGAGGAAGAAAGCUGGGGACCUAGGAAUAGGCCUAGCGCUUUUUGAGCGGCCGAUGCCGGAUUAGCUAGUUGGUGAGGUAAAGGCUCACCAAGGCGAAGAUCUGUAGCGGGUCUGAGAGGAGGAUCCGCCACACUGGGACUGAGACACGGCCCAGACUCCUACGGGAGGCAGCAGUGGGGAAUUUUGGACAAUGGGGGCAACCCUGAUCCAGCCAUGCCGCGUGUAUGAAGAAGGCCUUAGGGUUGUAAAGUACGUUUGUUAGGGAAGAAAAGUCAGCUGUGAAUAAUGGCUGAUACUGACGGUACCUAAAGAAUAAGCACCGGCUAACUACGUG